CAACUCAUCAAUACACUGUUGUGCUACAUUAAAUCACCUCUUCAACUCAUCAAUACACUGUUGUGCUACAUUAAAUCAACCUCUUCAACUCAUCAAUACACUGUUGUGCUACAUUAAAUCAACCUCUUAGGUAGGUGUGAGGGAAAUGGGUUUAAAGGCAGAUUAAGUUAGGAAGGUGUGAGGGAAAUGGGUUUAAAGGCAGAUUAAGUUAGGAAGGUGUGAGGGAAAUGGGUUUAAAGGCAGAUUAAGUUAGGAAGGUGUGAGGGAAAUGGGUUUAAAGGCAGAUUAAGUUAGGAAGGUGUGAGGGAAAUGGGUUAACAGGCAGAUUAAGUUAGGAAGGUGUGAGGGAAAUGGGUUAACAGGCAGAUUAAGUUAGGAAGGUGUGAGGGAAAUGGGUUUAAAGGCAGAUUAAGUUAGGAAGGUGUGAGGGAAAUGGGUUUAAAGGCUCUGAAUACGUGUUUGAUUUCAACAUUCUGACAAAGGAGCAGUAGAAAAUACAAACAUUUAGGAAAAGUCAGGGAGCAGGAGGUAGGUUUUUUGGGUUGUCUGAUUCUAGUGUUAAAAGACAAUUCUGCCACUUUUCAACCUCAUAUUCAUCCUCUCCAGCACCAAACAGAAUGUUUAUUUGUCAAAAUGGCACAUUUCUAUGAUCUGUAGUUAAAAAGAUAAGUAGACAAGUCUUUAAAAAAUGAUCUGUGACAUAAAAGUUAAAAACUCAUUUUCCAAACCUGCAGUAGUUUUCUGGCCCCAUGGAGGGUAUUUUAUUGCUCCCCACACCUGAUCAUCUAAUUGUGUUUGAAAAUCACUGCUUUUAAAAUGAUUAAACUUUUGAUGAUGUCAUCAGGUAGAACUUUUUAACUUUAUAUUUUUUCUUCAAAACUUCAAAAUGAACCAUUUACAUUUAUAUUCAUUUCUGAUGUUAUUUUAUUUGUACGGCUGAAUAGGACCUUUAAAGGUAGUGUUUUAUAUAUAUUCUGAUGUUAUUUUAUUUUUAUGGCUGAAUAGGACCUUUAAAUGUAGUGUUUUAUAUAUAUUCUGAUGUUAUUUUAUUUUUAUGGCUGAAUAGGACCUUUAAAUGUAGUGUUUUAUAUAUAUUCUGAUGUUAUUUUAUUUUUAUGGCUGAAUAGGACCUUUAAAGGUAGUGUGUUUUAUAUAAUUAGCCUCCACAGCAACAUGAACACCUGAAUACUUUCACAUACAAACCAGAGGAGGCUGGUGGAGGAGCUAUAGGAGGACAGGCUCAGUGUAAAGACUGGAAUGGAAUAAAUGGAACAUCAAACACUUAAUUAAUUUAUUCCAUUUCAGCCAUAAAAAUGAACAAGUCCUCCUAUAACUCCUCCUAUAGCUCCUCCCACCAGCCUAUAGCUCCUCCCACCAGCCUAUAGCUCCUCCCGCCAGCCUAUAACUCCUCCCACCAGCCUCCUCUUGGAAAUGUCUCUGUUCUGUUAAAAGAGAAGUUGAGAAUACCACAUGUUGAUUCUGUUGUAUCUACAUUAAACCACAUGUUGAUUCUGUUGUAUCUACAUAUAUCUACAUUAAACCACAUGUUGAUUCUGUUGUAUCUACAUGUAUCUACAUUAAACCACAUGUUGAUUCUGUUGUAUCUACAUUAAACCACAUGUUGAUUCUGUUGUAUCUACAUAUAUCUACAUUAAACCACAUGUUGAUUCUGUUGUAUCUACAUGUAUCUACAUUAAACCACAUGUUGAUUCUGUUGUAUCUACA
This is a long non-coding RNA of Oncorhynchus tshawytscha (Chinook salmon), 1725 nucleotides long. Lineage: Eukaryota; Metazoa; Chordata; Actinopteri; Salmoniformes; Salmonidae. The record is from Ensembl.